Non-coding RNA from Vicia faba (fava bean), 257 nucleotides. The record is from the annotation of a GenBank genome assembly. Lineage: Eukaryota; Viridiplantae; Streptophyta; Magnoliopsida; Fabales; Fabaceae.
AUGCUGGGAGGUGGUCCGGUUGACGGAAGGGUAAGACUGGAGAAGACGGAUAGGCUGGCCGGUGAGAGAGGAAGGGCAGUGGGUCGGCCGAGAGGGAGUAUGUACGAAGGUUGUGUCGUGAAGAUGGUGAGGAAAUUGAAGAAGGAGCAAUUUAAUUGGGCUCUGUUUGGAUGUCCCCUGAUAUUGCAUUGUUCUCAAAUGUCAAAAAAUAGUUUUUCCAAACAAGUCUUUAACCUAUUCACGUUUCUCUUUCUCCU